UACAGAGACUGCAAGCGUUAUUCGGAUUCACUGGGUGUAAAGGGUGCGCAGGCGGCCAAGUGUGUUAGGCGUGAAAGCCUGGGGCUUAACCCCAGAAUUGCACCUAAAACUACAUGGCUAGAGCAUUGGAGAGGGUAGCGGAAUUCACGGUGUAGCAGUGAAAUGCGUAGAUAUCGUGAGGAACACCAGAGGCGAAGGCGGCUACCUGGACAAUUGCUGACGCUCAGGCACGAAAGCGUGGGGAGCAAAAGGG
Molecule: ribosomal RNA, 253 nt
Filed under: uncultured bacterium
Lineage: Bacteria
Description: partial 16S ribosomal RNA
Rfam family: Bacterial small subunit ribosomal RNA
Source: RNAcentral